This 1309-nucleotide long non-coding RNA is filed under the name Nicotiana tabacum (common tobacco). RNAcentral's name for it is "long non-coding RNA (NTAB_LNC003747)". Lineage: Eukaryota; Viridiplantae; Streptophyta; Magnoliopsida; Solanales; Solanaceae. The record is from RNAcentral.
AUCAAGAGGCAAGGGCAUCGCCGGCUAGAGUUUGGCCUGGCUUGAGGUAAGUAACACUUCCAAACUUUGUUCUGAGGGUUCAAAACCCCGAACUAUGUAAUCUAUGAUUGCUAUUGAGGUGACGCAAAUGCCGAAUGACGGGCGUAUAGGCAUGCACCAUGAGAAUUGCAGCCUGGAUCAUUCCAUGGCCCCGCUUAGUAACUCUUUCUUGUCGAUAUCCGUGUUUUUAUCGUGUGACUAAGUAAAUGCGCUGUGGAAACAUGCUAGAUAUCCUGUUAGGGCUUCAUGCCGAUACUGUUGAGAGCCGAGAGGUCAUUUAUUGUUGUCAUGUCAUUAUCUUCAUUGAUAUUCUGUACUCAGUCUUGUUCAUGCAUUAUAUAUCAUGCCCCAGUCUCGAUUAAUGUUAUUUGGCACAUCAUAUCAUUGUUCGGGCUAGUAUCAUGACAUUGUGAGCUCGUAUGUGUGAGACUGGAGAGUGAUGACUGAGUGAGGCCGAGAGCCUGGUUGUGAGUGACAGUAUAUGGGAUCAGGCUGCAUGCUGCAACAGUUAUGUUGAUGAUUAUGAUAGUGCUUAGGCUGUAGGAUCUCCUCCGGAGUUUGUAACACACCCCCAGUGAGCGCAGUUGAUGAUAUUUAGGGAUGGAUCUUCCCUGGACAUGGAUCUUGACGAAGUAUUUAUACCUAGAGAUGGAUCUUCUCCACAAGGCUGGAAUAGCCUUCCUCGGUACCAGAUGACUGUAGUCAGUGAUAUAUAUAUUCCGGGAUGGAUUUUUCCUACGCCGGAUGGCCAUAUAUAGUACCGAGUGGUUGAGCACUUGUGAGUGGCGGUACACGAAAAAUUGAUCAUGCUAUUUGUGCAUAGGUACAUAGAGAUUUCCUGAGCUUUAUACUCCGUGCUGCUUAGGCUGCAUUUAUUUAGUGUUGCGUUUUUACUUGAAGUGCAAGCAUGUCUACUUUUCUGUAGAGUUUAAUGAUAUUAUUUGUUGAGGUUUGGUUCAUCACUACCUGUCAGUGCAUAGUUUGGACUUGUUACUUACUGAGUUGGUGUACUCCCAUUACCCCCUGCACCUUGUGUGCAGAUCCAGGUAUCUCGGGUCAUGGUAGCGGUUGUUGAUCAUUUCAGUGGUGGACUUUUUCCUUGGAGAUAGCGAGGUAGCUGACUGGCGAUCGCAGUCCCACCUUCUCGUUCCUUAUCUUCCUCUUAGUGUAUUUGUUGGCUAUUCACAGACUAUGUAGUCUUGUUUAUUUCAAACAGUUGUAGUAUUUUGCUCAUGACUUAGUGACACCCGAGGCCGGGCUUGUAUUUCCG